UAACUUCUCUACAAAUUUGCUCUCUUUCUACACCAACCUCUUUUGCCCAGGGAACUCCACAAUCUUCAUUUCUCUCUCUACAUUGAAAUUGAGAGAGAGAGAGAGUUGUGACGAGAAAGAGAGAGCCAUCUCUGUAUUGAACAAGGGAUGGAGAGAGAGGAAGUGGGGGGACAGAGCCGCAGUUCAAGGGAAAGAGAGCUGUGAUGAGAGAGAAGGAGCUACAGUCUAGGAGAGACAAAUAGAUGUGAUGAGAGAGAGAGAAAGAGAGAUGGUGGACAAAAAUGAUGGAAACCACCACCGAGUUCUUGAUUCCUCUGUUUCAAAGUGGUUUCUCCUUCUGCUCCUGGAGAGAGAGAAUUAAAGAGAGACCAAAUGCUCCGAGAACCACACAAGGGAAUGAAGAAAGUCGAAGACGAGCCACGCCUCAACAACACAUUCAUCAUGGCCAUGGAGGAGAAGAGAAAUUUCCCACUAAUUACUUGCAGAGAAGAGAUGACUUAUGCGAGAGUUUUACUUCUUUGUUCUUCAAAG
Molecule: long non-coding RNA, 531 nt
Filed under: Amborella trichopoda
Lineage: Eukaryota; Viridiplantae; Streptophyta; Magnoliopsida; Amborellales; Amborellaceae
Description: long non-coding RNA (ATRI_LNC003712)
Source: RNAcentral